RNAcentral lists this ribosomal RNA (253 nucleotides) under uncultured bacterium. Its description in RNAcentral is "partial 16S ribosomal RNA". It matches the Rfam family "Bacterial small subunit ribosomal RNA", at positions 524 to 776 of the family's 1533-position model. The record is from RNAcentral.
UACGUAGGGGGCAAGCGUUGUCCGGAUUUACUGGGCGUAAAGCGCGUGUAGGCGGCCAGAAAAGUCCGCUGUGAAAACUCGAGGCUCAACUUCGAGCUGUCGGUGGAAACUUUCUGGCUAGAGUCCGGAAGAGGAGAAUGGAAUUCCUGGUGUAGCGGUGAAAUGCGCAGAUAUCAGGAAGAACACCCGUGGCGAAGGCGGUUCUCUGGGACGGUACUGACGCUGAGACGCGAAAGCGUGGGGAGCGAACAGG